UGAUAAUUAGAUUGCCAGGUGAGCCCAAUUUAAGGAAAAACUACUAAAGGAGGGUGUUCCACAUUAUUAAGCAGAGCACCAUUUUCAUGCAAUAUGGGGAAGAAAAAGGAUCUCUCUGCUGCCGAAAAGAGUGAAAUAGUUCAAUGCCUUGGCCGAGGUAUGAAAACAUUAGAUAUUUCACGAAAAGUUAAGCGUGAUCAUCGC
This is a non-coding RNA of Pelobates cultripes (western spadefoot toad), 204 nucleotides long. The record is from the annotation of a GenBank genome assembly. NCBI's taxonomy places the organism in Eukaryota, Metazoa, Chordata, Amphibia, Anura, Pelobatidae.